RNAcentral lists this transfer RNA (65 nucleotides) under Panonychus citri (citrus red mite). RNAcentral describes it as "tRNA-Leu". Lineage: Eukaryota; Metazoa; Arthropoda; Arachnida; Trombidiformes; Tetranychidae. The record is from RNAcentral.
UUCAAAAAAGCAAAAUUUGCAUAAAAUUUAAAAUUUUAUUUAGUGAAAUAAUUUCACUUUUGAAA